RNAcentral lists this ribosomal RNA (405 nucleotides) under uncultured bacterium. RNAcentral describes it as "partial 16S ribosomal RNA". It matches the Rfam family "Bacterial small subunit ribosomal RNA", at positions 28 to 526 of the family's 1533-position model. The record is from RNAcentral.
GAUGAACGCUGGCGGCGUGCCUAAUACAUGCAAGUCGAGCGAAGCGGGGAAGGGUGAGUAACACGUGGAUAACCUCCUAUAAGACUGGGAUAACUUCGGGAAACCGGAGCUAAACCGGAAACUUAUAGAUGGAUACGCGCUGCAUUAGCUAGUUGGUAAGGUAACGGCUUACCAAGGCAACGAUGCAUAGCCGACCUGAGAGUGGUAUCCGCCACACUGGAACUGAGAACCGGUCCAGACUCCUACGUGAGGCACGAUGAGGGAAUCUUCCGCAAUGGGCGAAAGCCUGACGGGGCAACGCCGCGUGAGUGAUGAAGGUUUUCGGAUCGUAAAACUCUGUUAUUAGGGAAGCGGUACCUAAUCAGAAAGCCACGGCUAACUACGUGCCAGCAGCCGCGGUAAUAC